GGGAGUGGAGGGGCAGGUGCUGAACUCUGCUCUCUGGGGACAGCUAUAGGUCCUGAGGGAACGGCAUGGAGCUGGGACAGGGGAUGGUCAGGCUGGGUGUUAGGGAAAGGUCUGCACCCAAAGGGUGGUUGGGCACUAGGACAGGCUUCCCAGGGCAGUGUUUACAGCACCAAGCCUGCUGGAGUUCAAGAAGUGUUUGGACAACUCUCUCAGACACAUGGUCUGAUUUUUGGGUGGUCCUGGGCACUGGAACAGGCUCC
Long non-coding RNA from Oxyura jamaicensis (ruddy duck), 260 nucleotides. RefSeq lists it as uncharacterized. The record is from RefSeq and is a predicted model, not a curated record. NCBI's taxonomy places the organism in Eukaryota, Metazoa, Chordata, Aves, Anseriformes, Anatidae. The transcript has 3 exons.